UCUACACCUUUGGCCGCAUUGUGAUC
RNAcentral lists this non-coding RNA (26 nucleotides) under Homo sapiens (human). The record is from RNAcentral. Lineage: Eukaryota; Metazoa; Chordata; Mammalia; Primates; Hominidae.